GAAUAAUCUACAACCAGUAGGUUUAGAAAUAUGAAGAUUUGUUUGCGGGAAAAAGUACAAAUAUGUUAUCAAUUAGAACCAUAGCAUAGGCUUUUUCUCUUGGAAGGGGAGAUUUUGGAUUGUAACAUGCAGUUUUAUGGUGUUUCUCCCCUUAGAUUUGGAGUUUAAAUAAUCUCAAAAGAAAAGUUUUCUAGUUUCCACAGUCCAUGGGAGGCUUGUGUUUCUACACUCUUGUUCAUACACUAGAAAUUCUGUUAUAUUAGUCUCCAUCCCUCCCUGGGGAGCAGA
Molecule: long non-coding RNA, 288 nt
Filed under: Bos taurus (domestic cattle)
Lineage: Eukaryota; Metazoa; Chordata; Mammalia; Artiodactyla; Bovidae
Description: long non-coding RNA NONBTAT023818
Source: RNAcentral